UUCAGAGUGAGGAGAGAAUCUUUGGAGGCUGAAUCAAAAACCUUCCAGUAAGAGGGUCUUUCCAGCUGACCUUCUGGUAGUGUCACAUCCUGAAAGAAUAUUGAAAUCUGGCAGUAUGGUCUGUGUGAGGUCUGCCAGCUGUGAUGGAUAAGACAAGACUGGUCAUGCAGAUCCUGAAAUUCACAUUCCACAAUGUCCUACUGCCAUUCUUUCUGCAGCCUUGAAACCAUCAGAAUAAGCUGAUUUGGAUAGAAUAAGAACAGCUAGAAAGAAAAGAACAGAUGGAUGAGGACAUGGGUGGAAAGACCAUUUUCAGUGAUUGUGGCUUGGAGGUCUAGUGGGAAAGUAAUUAUAUUUGUUGAGAAAGUUCUAACUUUAUAUUAAGCAAGAUAGAGCAGGAGCAUUUCACAAGCUCCCUCCCAUCUCGUUGACUUUAUUUACUGCAGUUGCUAUAUCUAAGCACAGCUGUCAUGAAUCAUCUAGAAGAAGCAGAACGGUGAUAAUAAUUUUGGCAAAGUUUUAAAUUUAGCUUUCUCAGUACAGUAUGUAUAUUAUCUUGAAUAAGAUAAUUAUGGUAUGUUGACUAUGUGGUCAUUAUGGAGUACCAUGAAAAUAAGGAUGAGGGGUUUGAGGUUGUUGAGGAAACCUAGAGAAAGCUGGUAUGGCUGAGAUCCACAAAAAGGACUUAGGCACCUAAGUUGCCAAUUUAGGUGCUACCAUGACUCAUGAAACCCCUUCCCCCUCAACUGUUGCCUAGCCACGUAGGCACCUAAACUCACUCAGCACUUAAAUUUCUGCUGUAAGAGUUCCCUAAGGGCCUAUGUUUCUCCCUGCCAUUCAGACUCCUAUCUCAUGCCUAAACCCCAGAACAAUCUUUAGUCCAGGGGAAGACUGGUGGAGGAAUGCCUGUUUCACCAUCGGGGCCUAAUCCACUAGGGUGACCCUGCUUCAGUUCCCCCUGUGCCUCAUGAGAAGAAGGGGUUUGAACAGGCCUUCCCCUCCUCUCUGGUGAGCACCUAACCAAAGGAUUAUGGAAUAUGCUGAUGUGGGUUUUUCAAACAGAAAAAAGUAA
This is a long non-coding RNA of Mauremys reevesii (Reeves's turtle), 1072 nucleotides long. RefSeq lists it as uncharacterized. The record is from RefSeq and is a predicted model, not a curated record. The transcript has 3 exons. Lineage: Eukaryota; Metazoa; Chordata; Testudines; Geoemydidae.